UCGCGUACACCUCGCGUCCGCAUCUCUCUCUCGUGGCCUCCGCCUCUGCCUCUUCUUCUCCCCAUUCCUGUCUCCUAGCCGAGCUCCGGUGCGCCACAAGGACAACGGGGGGAGGCGAUCCGGUGCGGACGACGCACGUCUCGGCCCCGUAGCAGGAGGUGUCGGCGGCGGAGAUGGUCGAUGGGGAGCCUCUUCUUCCCGUGAUCUGGUCCUCCCCAUUCAUGGCCAUUGGCAGGAGGAUCCCCUCGGAUUUAUUCCAUCCCCGGAGGAGACAGCCACCCUAGGAGGGGCGGUGCACGGGCACGGCUAGCUCGCUGGUCAUGACGUUGUUCCGCGACUGGUUCGCCUUUUUGUCGGCGCCACAGAUGAGGCAUGUUGCUGCGACCUUGCCCUCGUUGCCACGGCGACAGACUAUCCCCCAAGAUGAAUGGCCUCUUCAGGUUGAAAUCCACGGGCUAUGCCAUGCACGAGCUCGUCAUCUAUGUCGAUCUCCACUCUGGCUCACGUGGCGCCGAGGUCAAGCGGGAGGAGAAGGUGAGUUUGGAUCUGUCCGGUCUUCCUAUUUCGAGCCCUCUCUCUCUCUCUCUCUCUCUCUCUCUCUCUCUCUCUCUCUNNNNNNNNNNNNNNNNNNNNNNNNNNNNNNNNNNNNNNNNNNNNNNNNNNNNNNNNNNNNNNNNNNNNNNNNNNNNNNNNNNNNNNNNNNNNNNNNNNNNNNNNNNNNNNNNNNNNNNNNNNNNNNNNNNNNNNNNNNNNNNNNNNNNNNNNNNNNNNNNNNNNNNNNNNNNNNNNNNNNNNNNUUAUGUGCCUACAAGGUGUUCGAUGAAAGAGCCUGUACAUGUGUGAUCUUUAUACUCGUAUAAGUAUCUUAAUGCAACUUGUAGCCUUGCCAUUCUAAUCUAAUUUUGUGCAUUAUCUUCGAUUUUUGUUUCAGAGGGUAAUGCCCAGCUCAUUUGAUGGGUCUAUUUACUGUAUAAGUUAUUUGAGUAAUGAUGUGAAAGCAAUGAAUAAACUAUCACAGAUUUCAUGCUUGCACUGUAGUUUAUUUCUUCAUUCAUACAUCAUCAGUCUUAGUACUUGCUCUUGUGCCUGCCCGGCCUGGGUUUAUUGAGUUUGCCUUCUCUUCCUAAAUACUUCCUCCGUCCGAAAAUACUUGUCAUCAAAAUGGAUAAAAAAAGACGUAUCUAGAACUAAAAUACGUCUAGAUACAUCCCCUUUUAUCCAUUUUGAUGACAAGUAUUUUCGGACGGAAGGAGUAACAGACCUGAUUUCCUUUAUGUCCUUGAAGCAAAUACCACAGUGUUAGCUUGAAAAUGUUUAGGAUACACACAGAACCAGAAGGUAAAUAUGGGGUUUGAAGGAAACAGUACACACUGAUUUCAGGUGCUGCACUUCAGAAACGAGCCCCUCCUUCACCCCCACAAGCACCUACAUGUAAAUUAACCUGCAGUCAGCAUAUUUUUAUAUUCAUUGCUUGGAACGGCAAGCUGAAUCAACUGAAUUACUACAUUAUGGCAGGCCUUGGUGUACAAGACUUUAAGCCACUAAUAGAAAAGAAAAUACUAUGUUACACAGCUACUAUCUAUGGUAGAUACACUACAGAGCAAUUGAUGCAUCAGUCUCACCAAACGAUGUUGUGCUGGGUCUCAUAGGAUCACUUGCAUGUCCUUGGACUUCCUAUAAUGCCUACAAACUAGGAUGACUUGUAUUUAUAGUAACUACAACAGAUCGAAUUUUUGUCCAAAAGGACCACUUGUGGAACACAAUUGACAAAAAAGACCACAUUUGAAUCACAUUGGCAAAACAGACCAGUGAAGCCGUGGCGGCAGGUGCGCCAGCCGACACGUGGCACCUGCCGCCACCGGCUCAGGCGGCAGCCGUCGUGCCACAGAUUUUCGUCAGUGCGACGGAACGGAGCAGCUCCUUUGGGACCUGCCGUCACCAUGCGAGGCGGCAGCUUCUGUUGUUGUUGCUCAUGUUUUGGCUAGCGUGGUGGCAGUGCUACCGUGGCUAUAGCUUGACUCCAUACCGAUGCAUGCAAAGAAUGCUGAUAGCUAGCCAGCGAACACACACAGUCACAGACAUGCGCAUGCUUUCAUGUCAUGCAUAGAUAAUGCAUGCGCAGUCCCAUCACCCAUUUGAUAAAAUAGAGCAAACCUGGUGCUGGCAAAGGGUGCCGCCGCAGCAUGUGGCGGCAGGCCCCACGUCUUCCGUUUUCCGUUCCAAGGCAAAGCUUGUAGCUGUGCUGCUCAACAUGCCGCCUGCGACGAUGGCGGCAGGUGCUGCCGCCUGCACCCGUGGCGGCAGGUGCCACGUGUUGGCUGGCGCUCCAGCCGCCACGGUGAGCUAGUCUUUUUUGCCAUUUGAAUUUUAAGGUGGUCUUUUCUGUUAAUUCGAUUCGGCAGGUGGUCUUUUUGGACAAAAAUUCCAACAGAUCACUCUGAUUAUCUCACACGAAGCAUUUCAAGCCCAUGAGUUGUGGUUGUAGUUCUUUUCAAACUGCCAGGAUUUUAACCAAAAGUUUAGUACAGGUGCAAAUUCUUAUUUGUGUGAUAACUGGUAAGUUUAUGACAUUUUUGUCUUGCAUGCUUAUUUAUAGCUUAUAUCUCUUUAUUGCAAUUCAUAGGACGAGAAUCGGGACAUGAAUCUAAACUAUGAUAUUUUGAUUUAUGAUCGUAUUCAUGGAAAUUGUGCAAAAUAAUGAGCAACGGUCAUUAUUUUGUCCCAGUGAAGCUCCAGGUUUGGUUCAUUGCUGGGGAUAUGAGUUCUAGACUAUGUAGAAGAAAUAUAAAAUAGAAUUAAGCUGGGCUAGAUAUACAUAUUAUACUCAUUGCAUUGCCUUUUAUUAAACAAAUUAUAUAACAUUGUGAUGGGAUAACGACAAUAUUGAAACAUCGUCAGCUGCCACUAUCUAUUUUGUGGGAUCAUCAGAAGGUGAAACUUAUGUAUCGUUCUAUCAUCCUGGUCAUUAAUUUGUUGGCAUGUAGCUGAUGCAAUAUUAGUGUGUGUGCUUGUUUGUCGCUAUUUUGCUGAAACAAGUACUAUUAUUGCAUAGGUUAUCAUUUAUCACUGUUAGAGUUGCAGUUUACCUUUGCCAUGUAGAUAAUGUUCUUACCUCAAAUUGACAUAUAGUGCAUUCCAGGCAUCAGGUUUUAUCACUAUUAAGAUGUAACAAUUGACUUCUCUCAGGGAUAUUUGACAAAUCAGGAUAUAUUCUCCAUUAUCAUCCAUGGGUGGCCCUUCACCCUCAGCCACUUCUCUAAACAAAUAGAACCCUAGGAGUUUCAUCAGAUCAUCAGAUGGGUGCGAACUCGCAUCUGGCCUUGCUGCUAUUUCCGCUACUGGAUAGUCAGUAAUAUCUCAUUGCUUGCUUGACCUUAUAACAUUUUAUUCUAUUUUAUCUCUCUAAGAGUUGUUUCUUGAAAAAUGAAAUCAUGUAGAUUGUGCUUCAUAAAAGUUUCGUAAAAAGGUCUACUGCAUGACCUGCUGGGAUCUGUGCAAUCGCUUUGUUUAGACAAAAAAAAUCAUGAACCAAUUAGUCAAAAACUUGUGAUUGUUAUUAAUCUGUCAAAAGAUUUGUACAACCUAUUGUUUAUACUAAUUAGAUCUUCUUGUUGUUAUUUGCAUCUGAGUUCCUAUAAUGUACUUUGUGUGAGCAGCCAGAUGACCUGGUAUAUGUUCCACAGCUCUGCUGACAUUCAUGAAUCCACGUAUCCACGUAUCUCACUUACCACGUUGUCCUAAAAAUCAUUGACACCUCAUUCUAUGACAGGCUCGGCAAGAAAGGCAGCAGCUGACGGAUGGAGGUCACCACCAUGACGAUCGAGGCCGCAUCGACAGACUCAGGUGCAUGAGCUCGUUGGUGGUUUCAGUUUCAUAAUUCUCGUUACACCUAACCUCUGUUUGCUCAAUCUCUGACAAUUUCGCAUGUCAUUGCAUUGUCGAGUAUGUGUAGCGGGAUAGAAAGCAGUGACGCAUUGUCCACGGAGUGGCCGCCAUGGGACUAAACCUGCUGUCGGGCGUGGCGAGCUUGCCGACGUUUUACUACGAGCUGUCCAGGCACGGCUGCUGGCCAGAUGCUCUGUCACGGCAAGCUUUUCUGGCGCGGCUGCUUGUCGGAGUCUCAUGGGGUGCUACCUUGCAGCAUGCUCUGUCGAGACAAGCUUGCCUGCGUGGCUGCUAGCCAGAGUCUCAUGGGAUGCUGCCUUGCAGCAUGCUCUAUCGUAGCAAGCUUGCCAGCGCGGCUGCUUGCCAGAGUCUCAUGGGAUGCUGCCUUGCAGCAUGCUCUGUCGUGACAUGGUUGCCAGCGCGCUCGCUGGAGUCUCAUGUGAUGCUGCGUUGCAGCAUGCUUUGUCGCGGCAAGCUUGCCGGCAUGGCUGCUGCAAGCGGGUGCUAUGGGUCGGCGGGCUGGUGCCCCUGCAGAGAGAGUCGCUCCUACAGGAGAUGAGGGAGUAGCGGCAGGACGACAAAGAUCAGCUCAAUGCCGCGCCAGUGCCACAUUUUAGCUGGUACACGCUCGGACGGGCAUGGCGUCACUUCUUCAUUUUCUCUUGAACCGGCUCGUCCUGCUAUUUCCACCGAGUUGGAGGAAGAUGGAGAGAUGAGCCAUUUUACUCACUAAUAGAAAAUCAUUUGGGCAGAACUUCCUUUUUCACAAGAAGAGACGAAAAUGCUCCAUGAAGUUGAUUGAUUGUGCCUCCAAUUUUGGAUGUCGUAUGCGUUGCUUCUGAACCACUUCCCUUUAUGUCUUCGGUCAUGUA
Molecule: long non-coding RNA, 4757 nt
Filed under: Triticum aestivum (bread wheat)
Lineage: Eukaryota; Viridiplantae; Streptophyta; Magnoliopsida; Poales; Poaceae
Description: long non-coding RNA (TAES_LNC027387)
Rfam family: MIR1120/MIR1122 microRNA precursor family (bases 1125-1259)
Source: RNAcentral